Molecule: transfer RNA, 72 nt
Filed under: Sus scrofa (pig)
Lineage: Eukaryota; Metazoa; Chordata; Mammalia; Artiodactyla; Suidae
Rfam family: tRNA
About the family: Transfer RNA (tRNA) molecules are approximately 80 nucleotides in length. Their secondary structure includes four short double-helical elements and three loops (D, anti-codon, and T loops).
Source: Rfam by way of RNAcentral
UCCCUAGUGGUCUAGUGGUUAGGAUUCGGUGCUGUCACCAUUGUGGCCUGGGUUCAAUCCCUGGUCUGGGAA